Monodelphis domestica (gray short-tailed opossum) is the source of this 2055-nucleotide long non-coding RNA. The record is from Ensembl. NCBI's taxonomy places the organism in Eukaryota, Metazoa, Chordata, Mammalia, Didelphimorphia, Didelphidae.
CCAGGAAGAUGUAAGCUUCUUGAGGGCAAGAAAUAUUUCACUAACACCUAACAUAUUAUGUUGUUGUUCAGUACUUUUUUAGUCUUCUCCAACUCCCUGUGAUCUUAUUUGGGAUUCUCUUGCCAGAGACAUUGGAGUGGUCUGCCAUUUCCUUCUCCAGUUCAUUUUACAGAUGAGGAAACUGAGACAAAUAGGGUUCAGUGACUUGCCUAAAGUCACAUUGCUAGUAAAUGUCUGGGGCCAGAUUUAAACUUAAGAUGUCUUGACUCCAGGCUCAGUGCUCUUAACCAUUGAACUGUAGUUGCUUUUAUACCAUUUAGCAGGUGCUUAAUAAAUGCUCACUGAUGGAUUGAUGGAUUAAAAGGACCAGCCCAGGCAGGUUGAGAGACUCCUUUGGACCCUUCCCUUCCUUGCUCUCUCCUGAAUUUUCUGAAUCACUCCCAUGCAGUUUGGCACACUUCCUCCCUGAGCAUUAGAAGUUUGAUGGUCACAUCACAUUCACCUUUGGAUUUCUCCAAAGCUUGCUCACCCACUUCUCUGCUUCCCUCCCUCCUUCCCAAUCCCAUUCCUACUGGCCAGCCAUGAGUUCCUAUGCCAUGAGUCACAGCAAACUGGGGGAGGUAGCAUUGCGAAGGAGUGGGGGUUAUUCUUCGAGAGGAUGACAUAUAAGCCAGUGAAGAAAACAAGGCUGUUUAUAAUGAAGUGCUAAAUUAUGUGGUACAGUUACUGCAGUAGGAGUUCAGAGGAGGCAUCUCCGGGACUCCUCCAUGUGACCCCAGAAAUGGCAGACACACAACUGGUCCCUUGACCCGGCCUUACAGAUCCUGCUGUGCUCAGAAGGGCUUUCAUUCAGCCAUGAAGAUUUAUUUCCUAAGGUAAUCAAGGAAAAAGAAAAAGAAACUACAUGUUCCAAAAUAUUUACAGCAGCUCCCUUUUGUGGUAAAAAAGAACUGAAAACAGAUAGGAUGUCCAACAAUUGGGAAACAGAUAAACAAGUAGUGGCACAUGUCUGCAAAGGAACACUACUGUGCCACAAAAAAUGCCAAACACGAUGAUCACACACACACACACACACACACACACACACACACACACACACACACAUGGAAAGACUUCUAUAAAGUAAUGCAAAAUUGAGAUGAGCAGAAGCAGGAGAAUGUUGGAUAUCUAACAUCAAUAGUGCAUGAUAAUCAACUCUGAAUGACUUAACCACCAGCAGCAAUGGAAAGAUCCAGGACAACUCCAAGAGACUCAUGAUGAAAUAGAUAGUCUGAAUACAGACUGAAGCAUACAAUUUUCUACCUGACCUCCUCCAUGAAUUCCUCUCUAGUGUAAGCAAUAUAUGUCUUGUUCCACAACAUCACAGACAUGGAAAUAUUCAUUCCACAAUACAUGUACAACCCAUAGAAUAUUAACUGCCCUCUGGAGCAGGGAGGAAGGGUGAGAGGGAGAGAGGGAGAAAAAAAGAAUGAGAUAGAAUUUUGGAUAUAGCUAACAUGAGAAUUUGUUUGUCUUUGACAAACAUUUAUUAUACAUUAUUACAUAUUUAUAACAAAUCAUAUGUAUUAUAUUUUUGUUAUAUUACAUAUAUUCUUUUACUUUUUAGAAAGUAAAAAGAAAUGAUAAUUAAAAAAAUAAGUGCCUUUAUUAAAAGUAUUAUUUAAAAGUAUCCCUUAUAGUGGUGCCCAUCUCUAUCCUCUUCCAUUCUUCUCACAUUUCUUAUUUGGACUCUAGUUCGGUUAUUAUAUUUUAAUAGCAUUCAAUUUUAACUGAUAUUGAGUACACUGUUUUCUUGGUUCAUUUUCAUCAGUUUAUAUACAUUUCCCUAUACUUGUCUGAAUUCUUCAUAUUCUUUAUUUCUUACCACACAAUCAUAUUCCAUUAUGUUCAUGUGCUACAUUGUGUUUAGCCAUCCCUCAGUAUGGACAUCCAUUCUGUUUCUAACUCUCUGAUGACAAAAGAAAUGUUACUAUAAAUAUUUUAGCAUAUAUGGGCCUUUCUUAUUGUCCACUGACCUUCUUGGUUUAUAUGCUAAGCAGUGAAAUAUUUGGGUCA